Molecule: ribosomal RNA, 292 nt
Filed under: uncultured bacterium
Lineage: Bacteria
Description: partial 16S ribosomal RNA
Rfam family: Bacterial small subunit ribosomal RNA
Source: RNAcentral
GUGCCAGCCGCCGCGGUAAUACAGGGGGGGCAAGCGUUGUUCGGAAUUACUGGGCGUAAAGGGUUCGUAGGUGGCCAACUAAGUCAGACGUGAAAUCCCUCAGCUUAACUGGGGAACUGCGUCUGAUACUGGAUGGCUUGAGUGUAGGAGAGGAAUGCGGAAUUCCAGGUGUAGCGGUGAAAUGCGUAGAUAUCUGGAGGAACACCGGUGGCGAAGGCGGCAUUCUGGACUACAACUGACACUGAGGAACGAAAGCCAGGGGAGCAAACGGGAUUAGAAACCCUUGUAGUCC